RNAcentral lists this ribosomal RNA (279 nucleotides) under uncultured bacterium. Its description in RNAcentral is "partial 16S ribosomal RNA". It matches the Rfam family "Bacterial small subunit ribosomal RNA", at positions 506 to 784 of the family's 1533-position model. The record is from RNAcentral.
UGCCAGCAGCCGCGGUAAUACGGAGGGGGCUAACGUUGUUCGGAAUUACUGGGCGUAAAGCGCGCGUAGGCGGAUUAGACAGUUGAGGGUGAAAUCCCGGAGCUUAACUCCGGAACUGCCUUCAAUACUACUAAUCUUGAGUUCGGAAGAGGUGAGUGGAAUUCCUAGUGUAGAGGUGAAAUUCGUAGAUAUUAGGAAGAACAUCAGUGGCGAAGGCGACUUACUGGUCCGAUACUGACGCUGAGGUGCGAAAGUGUGGGGAGCAAACAGGAUUAGAUA